UGCCAGCACUGAUUAAUUGGCUAUACUUGGAGAUGCUUCUGCAUCCUCAAAUCUGAAUCACGGCAGAGAAGAACGAGCUUCAUGAAAAUGAGCUUGUUUUGAAGGCGAAAAAGGCAAAAAUGGAGCAGCAGGUCAGGCUGAAGCAACCAAGAUGCCCAUUUUUUCAAGCAACGGUUACAUUCCAAUGUGGACUUGGAGUUGCAGGCGGCACUUCUUGAAGAAGAAGAUGAACUUAUAUUAU
RNAcentral lists this long non-coding RNA (241 nucleotides) under Helianthus annuus (common sunflower). RNAcentral's name for it is "sRNA HanXRQr2_Chr13g0612961". The record is from RNAcentral. Lineage: Eukaryota; Viridiplantae; Streptophyta; Magnoliopsida; Asterales; Asteraceae.